AGCCUUCUGUAUCCGUGCUGAGAUUUCGUCACAUACCAGACUACAAAAGAUGAUGC
This 56-nucleotide microRNA precursor is filed under the name Schistosoma mattheei. RNAcentral's name for it is "mir-3492 microRNA precursor family". It matches the Rfam family "mir-3492 microRNA precursor family", at positions 1 to 56 of the family's 79-position model. Lineage: Eukaryota; Metazoa; Platyhelminthes; Trematoda; Strigeidida; Schistosomatidae. The record is from Rfam by way of RNAcentral.